Molecule: transfer RNA, 88 nt
Filed under: Salix viminalis (osier)
Lineage: Eukaryota; Viridiplantae; Streptophyta; Magnoliopsida; Malpighiales; Salicaceae
Also listed under: 1 other name
Rfam family: tRNA
About the family: Transfer RNA (tRNA) molecules are approximately 80 nucleotides in length. Their secondary structure includes four short double-helical elements and three loops (D, anti-codon, and T loops). Further hydrogen bonds mediate the characteristic L-shaped molecular structure. tRNAs have two regions of fundamental functional importance: the anti-codon, which is responsible for specific mRNA codon recognition, and the 3' end, to which the tRNAs corresponding amino acid is attached (by aminoacyl-tRNA synthetases). tRNAs cope with the degeneracy of the genetic code in two manners: having more than one tRNA (with a specific anti-codon) for a particular amino acid; and 'wobble' base-pairing, i.e. permitting non-standard base-pairing at the 3rd anti-codon position.
Source: Rfam by way of RNAcentral
CCGACCUUAGCUCAGUUGGCAGAGCGGAGGACUGUAGUUGGAUAAAGCUGUCAUCCUUAGGUCGCUGGUUCGAAUCCGGCAGGUCGGA